This 1848-nucleotide long non-coding RNA is filed under the name Citrus x clementina. RNAcentral's name for it is "Citrus clementina (C. clementina) long non-coding RNA (CCLE_LNC006593)". The record is from RNAcentral. Lineage: Eukaryota; Viridiplantae; Streptophyta; Magnoliopsida; Sapindales; Rutaceae.
UGAUGUGCUUUUUUCUGGACUUGGAAGAGGUCCUGACUGGGGGUUCCUCGCGUUCUUUCUCAGAUUCUUCCUUUGCCUCUAUUGGUGAACUGUCAGUUGCAGACUUGUCACUCUCUUCUUCAGGUUGGUCAGAUUGGUCAGCAGUUUCUGAUUCAGCCUCUGCUUGUGGUUCUGUUGCAGAUUCCUCUUCUGGUUCAUAUGUGUCAGUAGUUUCUUCACUGACUUCUGUUGGAGCCUCUGUAGUGUUGGUGUCAAAAUUGUACUGCUGGAGUAACGUAUCAGGGAAAUUCCGGUGGGUACUUUUUAUGUAUACAACAAAUUGGUGUAGGUGGCUUUCCAAGUGCUGUAAAUAGCUCUAAAACUAAUCGUUUUCCCUUUGCUGAGCUUCAACACAUUGAGUGAUGCUGGUGCUGAGUGCUUGUAUUCUAUGUUUUAACCCAAUAGCUCGUCUCACCCCUGUUACAGCAGCUGGUUCAGAUGUGGCCCCAACAACUUCACCAGUAAUUCUCUUGAUGGUGCGUACAGUAAGGGCACAAUCAUUCUUGACAUGUUCAUCUUUUGCAUCAAGACGAACUCCCGAUACCACACAGAUGCUAGUGAUGAGUGAAGGAAAUAGCAAGGCAGCUGCUUUGUGAUUUUUCAUUGCACAGUCCCGAAUUUCUUUUUUGAUAAUGCUUCCCACAUCUAUGGAAAACCCUAUAACAAUAACAUACAACAAUACCAACCUUUCUUGUGAAACAGUAGUAGUGUGGGCGGUUGGUAUAAGUCUGGAUUUCAAAAAUUUUACCCACACCUUGGCAAUGGGUUUUAAAUCGAUCUUGUUAAUUACACGCCCUUCCUCAUUAGCCCAUGAAGCACCCUCUACUAUAAGUGUCGUGAAAAUUUUGUUCCAUCGUUGUGAGGUUAAUUUGUCAAGCAAUUGGGCAUACUCGUAAUUAAUUUCAGUAGGUAAAUUAUAGAAAGCAUUUAUAACUUGAGAAUCUAAUAGACCAAGCGAGUUUCUUACCCAUAUGUUGUGCUGACUAGAGCUUACCAAAUUGGCGUAAAAUUCUUUCACUACUGGCAACACCGGGUCUCGAGGGUGGUUACAAAACUCUAGCCACCCGCGCUUUGCUGCAAUAUUGUACAAUGAUUACACAAUUCCUGUGGGUUGAGGUGGAAACUGAAAUCCUUUUUCUUCUAGAAUCUUGUGCGGUUCAAUGAAUUCUUCAUAUUUUUCUUCCGUAUGGUAACUUUGGAAGCGUGAAUGAUCUUUUAAUCGGCUGGCUAUCCUUUUGUACCUUGGCAUUGCUAUAGCAGUAAGAAUUCGAUGGUAAUAUGUCCAGGAGUAAAAUGAGAAGAAGAAGUUAAGAAGUAUUUGAGUCGUGACUGUGAAGGAGAGGGAAAAUAGUGUCAGAGGUCAUUAAGCACAAUAACUCCCUUAUAUAGGGUGAAUUAAAUAAAAACAAAUUCGGUAAAAAGAGAUAAAUUAAGGAAGAAUAUUUUUCAAAUUCAUUAAGCAUAUCUCAUAAAAAUAGGCAAGAGAAAUUAGUGCAUUAAUUUCAGAGGUAUUCUUCCAUAAUUUCUAUCCAAAUCCAUUCACCCAUCUGUCACAUAUUAUUUCCAACGAUAAGUGAGAGGCUCCAUCUUUAAGUUGCUGUAACAGUAAUAUUGGUUGCUGCAGCACCCAAUUGUUUGCUCUAGCAACGGUUACAUACUCUCCUCCAAUAGCUACUGACUGUUACCAGUACAGCCCCAAUUGUUAGUAUGGAAUCCAUUUGUCACAUACAUUUCUCUUGAGAAAUUCAAAAAUCAAUCAUAAUUUAAAGAUAAAAUCAAUCCUAAAAAAGAUAAAAAAAUAAAAUAAAA